UACGAAGGGGGCUAGCGUUGCUCGGAAUCACUGGGCGUAAAGGGUGCGUAGGCGGGUUUUUAAGUCAGAGGUGAAAUCCUGGAGCUCAACUCCAGAACUGCCUUUGAUACUGAGAAUCUUGAGUACGGGAGAGGUGAGUGGAACUGUGAGUGUAGAGGUGAAAUUCGUAGAUAUUCGCAAGAACACCAGUGGCGAAGGCGGCUCACUGGCCCGUUACUGACGCUGAGGCACGAAAGCGUGGGGAGCAAACAGG
RNAcentral lists this ribosomal RNA (253 nucleotides) under uncultured bacterium. Its description in RNAcentral is "partial 16S ribosomal RNA". It matches the Rfam family "Bacterial small subunit ribosomal RNA", at positions 524 to 776 of the family's 1533-position model. The record is from RNAcentral.